RNAcentral lists this ribosomal RNA (406 nucleotides) under uncultured bacterium. RNAcentral's name for it is "partial 16S ribosomal RNA". It matches the Rfam family "Bacterial small subunit ribosomal RNA", at positions 30 to 526 of the family's 1533-position model. The record is from RNAcentral.
AUUGAACGCUGGCGGCAGGCCUAACACAUGCAAGUCGAACGAGUGGCGGACGGGUGAGUAAUGUCUGGGAAACUGCCUGAUGGAGGGGGAUAACUUCUGGAAACGGUAGCUAAUACCGCAUACCAUCGGAUGUGCCCAUAUGGGAUUAGCUAGGAGGUGGGGUAACGGCUCACCUAGGCGACGAUCCCUAGCUGGUCUGAGAGGAUGACCAGCCACACUGGAACUGAGACACGGUCCAGACUCCUACGGGACGCAGCAGUGGGGAAGAUUGCGAAAUGGGGGCAAGCCUGAUGCAGCCAUGCCGCGUGUGUGAAGAAGGCCUUCGGGUUGUAAAGUGCUUUCAGCGGGGACGCGUGGCCCACAGAAGAAGCCCCGGGUAACUCCGUGCCAGCCGCCGCGGUAAUAC